CUUAGAGUUUGAUCCUGGCUCAGGAUGAACGCUGGCGGCGUGCCUAAUACAUGCAAGUCGAACGAAUCUCUUUUAGAGAUGAGUGGCGAACGGGUGAGUAAUACAUAGGUAACCUGCCCCUGUGCGGGGGAUAACAGGAGGAAACUCCUGCUAAUACCGCAUAGCCAUGAGCACCGCAUGGAGCUCAUGCCAAAUAUCCUUUAUGGGAUAGCGCAGGGAUGGACCUAUGGCGCAUUAGCUGGUUGGCGGGGCAACGGCCCACCAAGGCAACGAUGCGUAGCCGGCCUGAGAGGGCGGACGGCCACAUUGGGACUGAGACACGGCCCAGACUCCUACGGGAGGCAGCAGUAGGGAAUUUUCGGCAAUGGGGGAAACCCUGACCGAGCAACGCCGCGUGAGCGAAGAAGGCCUUCGGGUCGUAAAGCUCUGUUGUAAAGGAAGAACGGCGCAUACAGGAAAUGGUAUGCGAGUGACGGUACUUUACCAGAAAGCCACGGCUAACUACGUGCCAGCAGCCGCGGUAAUACGUAGGUGGCGAGCGUUAUCCGGAAUCAUUGGGCGUAAAGAGGGGGCAGGCGGCCGCAAGGGCCUGUGGUGAAAGCCCGAAGCUAAACUUCGGUAAGCCAUGGAAACCGGGCGGCUAGAGUGCGGAAGAGGAUCGUGGAAUUCCAUGUGUAGCGGUGAAAUGCGUAGAUAUAUGGAGGAACACCAGUGGCGAAGGCGACGGUCUGGGCCGCAACUGACGCUCAUUCCCGAAAGCGUGGGGAGCAAAUAGGAUUAGAUACCCUAGUAGUCCACGCCGUAAACGAUGGUCACUAAGUGUCGGGGGUCAAACCCCGGUGCUGCAGUCAACGCAAUAAGUGACCCGCCUGAGUAGUACGUUCGCAAGAAUGAAACUCAAAUGAAUUGACGGAAGGGCGAA
RNAcentral lists this ribosomal RNA (922 nucleotides) under uncultured bacterium. RNAcentral describes it as "bacterial SSU rRNA". It matches the Rfam family "Bacterial small subunit ribosomal RNA", at positions 1 to 925 of the family's 1533-position model. The record is from RNAcentral.